This 468-nucleotide ribosomal RNA is filed under the name uncultured bacterium. RNAcentral's name for it is "partial 16S ribosomal RNA". It matches the Rfam family "Bacterial small subunit ribosomal RNA", at positions 28 to 507 of the family's 1533-position model. The record is from RNAcentral.
GACGAACGCUGGCGGCGUGCUUAACACAUGCAAGUCGAACGGAAAGGCCCUGCUUUUGUGGGGUGCUCGAGUGGCGAACUGGUGAGUAACACGUGAGUAACCUGCCCUUGACUUUGGGAUAACUUCAGGAAACUGGGGCUAAUACCGGAUAGGAGCUCCUGCUGCAUGGUGGGGGUUGGAAAGUUUCGGCGGUUGGGGAUGGACUCGCGGCUUAUCAGCUUGUUGGUGGGGUAGUGGCUUACCAAGGCUUUGACGGGUAGCCGGCCUGAGAGGGUGACCGGCCACAUUGGGACUGAGAUACGGCCCAGACUCCUACGGGAGGCAGCAGUGGGGAAUAGUGCACAAUGGGCGGAAGCCUGAUGCAGCAACGCCGCGUGCGGGAUGACGGCCUUCGGGUUGUAAACCGCUUUCGCCUGUGACGAAGCGUGAGUGACGGUAAUGGGUAAAGAAGCACCGGCUAACUACGUG